AACGUAGGACACAAGCGUUAUCCGGAGUUACUGGGCGUAAAGGGCGUGUAGGCGGAGAUGUAAGUCUAUUCUGAAAGCUCCUGGCUAAACUGGGAGAGGCGAAUGGAGACUGCAUAUCUAGAGUGAGGAAGAGGAAAGUGGAAUUCCGCGUGUAGUGGUGAAAUGCGUAGAUAUUGGGAAGAACACCAGUGGCGAAAGCGGACUUCUGGGUUGUUACUGACGCUGAGGUACGAAAGCGUGGGGAGCAAACGGG
This 253-nucleotide ribosomal RNA is filed under the name uncultured bacterium. Its description in RNAcentral is "partial 16S ribosomal RNA". It matches the Rfam family "Bacterial small subunit ribosomal RNA", at positions 524 to 776 of the family's 1533-position model. The record is from RNAcentral.